AAUGAAUUUUCAUUAUAAAGAUUCUUUUUGACUUGAGCAAUAUUUUUCCUAUUAUUAUUUAAAAAAAGAAGUAAUACACAAAUGGCUAAGGAGGAAACACAUGUGGGUAUGACAAAUUAAAAUUUUAAGAAACGUUAGAUGUAAAGACAAAAAUGGAUAAUUAAACAUUAAAAUACCUUAGAUUCUGAGUUGCAGUGGAAAAGUAGGAACAAAGUGGAGAUAAUCAGCAAAGUGAGUUGGAAGAUCAAAGAACUGAUUAAAGGAGUCUAUUCAAAUUCUAAGACAAACACUAGUUGCCAACUUCCAUUGAUAACCAUUCCCCCUUUGCCACCAAAAUAAAACAGAAGAGCGUAAUUGCCUCAUUUCUUAGAAUGAACCUGCAAUAUAAAUUUACUGCUAACAACCUGCUUUCCACUCCCUCUCUUCUUCCCAGAGAACUGCUUAAUUUUUCAAAAUUUCACAAUACUGGAAUAUAAUCUUCCUUUAGUGGCAAUUAGAAAAGAGUGGAAAAUCAAUGCAACAUUCGUAUGACAGAGUUUGGUAGCGAGAGGAUCAUAACAACCUGUGUUUUCGUUAUUGGUUGUGAGGAUUUACAGCUGGGAUUAUUUUCAAAGGCUUAUUAAUAUACAAUGGAGAUGGAUGAGCAUGUACUACCUGAGGGCAGAAGAAAAUCUCAAUGAAAAAUAUGGAGUAGAAA
Symphalangus syndactylus (siamang) is the source of this 697-nucleotide long non-coding RNA. RefSeq lists it as uncharacterized. The record is from RefSeq and is a predicted model, not a curated record. Lineage: Eukaryota; Metazoa; Chordata; Mammalia; Primates; Hylobatidae.